GAUGAUUCUGUUUCCAUAUUGAUAUCAGGUUCAUAAGCAGGGUGUUGCACUUGGAAGAUCUGUUGACUUGACAAAGUUUGAUGGUUAUGACCAAUUGAUCGAGGAGUUAGAUCAGCUAUUUGAAUUCAAAGGAGAAUUGAUGGCUCCAAAUAAAAAUUGGAUGAUUGUAUUUACUGAUAAUGAGGAUGAUAUGAUGCUUGUUGGAGAUGACCCUUGGCAGGAAUUUUGUGCUAUGGUCCGUCAGCUUUUUAUAUACACAAAAGAGGAGGUCCAGAAGAUGGAUUCAAGUACCUUGAACCCAAAAAAUGAAGAUUGUCCUGAUAUGAAAGAGAAUGUCAAGGAAACAAAAGGCAGUCAAUCUGCAUCAUCAUCUAAUUCAAAAAACUCAUAGGCUUAUCCUGCAAUGAUCUUGAAGCACAAACAAAGUGAUUGUUUAUGCUUUAUCUAAGUGAUUGUUUGAACAGUUUUAUAGCAUGCAUCUUGACAAUUAAUAUAAUUUUGAAGACCACUAUCAAGGAAGAAUGUUCAAAGGAAAGUAAAGGCUAAGGAGAAGAUCACGUAAUUAACUACACGGGUCUAGUGAAAAUACUGAAGAAGUAUGACAAGAGAACAGGAGCACUUAUCAGGUAACCCUUCAUCGAAAAGGUGCUGCAGCAGCCAUUCUUUACAACUGAUCCCCUAUACAAACUCGUGAAGGAGUGUGUGGCUAUGCUCGACCACCUCUUCCCCAGCAACAACCUGUCAAUUUCAGCAGAAUGCGACGGACAAAAUGGAGGGUUCCGGAGUUGGAGGAGA
Long non-coding RNA from Zingiber officinale, 795 nucleotides. RefSeq lists it as uncharacterized. NCBI's taxonomy places the organism in Eukaryota, Viridiplantae, Streptophyta, Magnoliopsida, Zingiberales, Zingiberaceae. The record is from RefSeq and is a predicted model, not a curated record. The transcript has 4 exons.